Gossypium arboreum is the source of this 107-nucleotide non-coding RNA. Lineage: Eukaryota; Viridiplantae; Streptophyta; Magnoliopsida; Malvales; Malvaceae. The record is from Rfam.
AAUCCAUGGUGCAGGAAUUUUUGAAUCAACAUUUUGAAUCAUUCUCAUGCCUCGUAGAAACUUCCUCCCUCCAUUUGUCUAAAAACAACAAUUUCUCUUAUUAGUUG